Long non-coding RNA from Tripterygium wilfordii, 903 nucleotides. RefSeq lists it as uncharacterized. NCBI's taxonomy places the organism in Eukaryota, Viridiplantae, Streptophyta, Magnoliopsida, Celastrales, Celastraceae. The record is from RefSeq and is a predicted model, not a curated record. The transcript is spliced from 2 exons.
AUACAUCAAAUUUAAAGCUCAAGGGAGGGUUUUGGUUCAGAGAACCUUUUUUUUCCAUUGUUUCUAUGCUUUGAAUUUAAUAUACCCACCUCCUUUUUGCUGUUGGGUUGGUGGCUAAUUCAGUGCCAGCAUUCUUCAAGGACUCAUCUCUCGCUCUCUCUCUUUAUCACUCUCAUUCAAAUAUGAGAAUCCCAAAUGACAUAUCUGAUAUCUUCACAAAUUACAUCUUCUCCACCUCUCUCCGUAGAAUCUUCUUCUGCUAUCUUCACAUUAUGUUUGUUCUCCAACCUCUUUGGCAUUGUUUUGAGUCAAGGCAUGACCCUAUUUAAAGUGCAUGUUCACCAAGUCUCAACAGUGACAUGAUUUUACAACCUCUUUGGCAUUGAUAUUGCAAUACACGGGAAAUCUCCAUACAAUCUGUCCUCCAUAAACUCCAUAGCAGCAAGAGCCUUGUGUUUUGUUUUGAUGGAUCUUUUAGGGAUCAUUUCUAUGUUGUUUAUGGAUUGUUGUGGAUCAGAUAAGGGUAGAUUUAGGGCAGAAAUUGAUUUUCUGUGUAUUAGUUACUGGUAUUGUAUGUAAAGGUCCACUACUUUUCUCUUUUUCUUUUCUUUGUCAAAACGUUAAGGUUAGGUGCAAGAUUCAGUUUCUUCUUCUCUUAGAAUUUCCUUUACAUAUUCAAAUCCAAUACUUUCCAAGGGAAGAAUUUUAUAGGACUCAUCUAGAAUCUGAAUGAGUCUUUAUAGUGAUCAUGAUAUCAGUGGUCAUGGCCAAAGAACUGUCAAUCCAGCCCUCCAACCAUUCAAAGAAUGGAUUAUUACAUCUUUUCUUGUUCUCUCUAAUGUAUUAUUCAUAGACAAUUGCAGCUUGUCUACUAAUAAAUCUGGAAUCUGAAUGGUUUAGACA